RNAcentral lists this ribosomal RNA (780 nucleotides) under uncultured bacterium. RNAcentral's name for it is "bacterial SSU rRNA". It matches the Rfam family "Bacterial small subunit ribosomal RNA", at positions 8 to 783 of the family's 1533-position model. The record is from RNAcentral.
AGAGUUUGAUCCUGGCUCAGGAUGAACGCUAGCGGCAGGCCUAACACAUGCAAGUCGAACGGUAACAUAAGAGCUUGCUCUUGAUGACGAGUGGCGCACGGGUGAGUAACGCGUAUGCAAUCUACCUAUAACUGAGGGAUAGCCCAGAGAAAUUUGGAUUAAUACCUCAUAACAUUAUUAUUUGGCAUCAUUUAAUAAUUAAAACUCCGGUGGUUAUAGAUGAGCAUGCGUUCUAUUAGCUAGUUGGUGAGGUAAGAGCUCACCAAGGCUACGAUAGAUAGGGGGCCUGAAAGGGUGAUCCCCCACACUGGUACUGAGACACGGACCAGACUCCUACGGGAGGCAGCAGUGAGGAAUAUUGCACAAUGGAGGAAACUCUGAUGCAGCCAUGCCGCGUGCAGGAUGAAGGCCCUAUGGGUUGUAAACUGCUUUUUUACAAGAAGAAACCUUGGUACGUGUACCAACUUGACGGUAUUGUAAGAAUAAGCACCGGCUAACUCCGUGCCAGCAGCCGCGGUAAUACGGAGGGUGCAAGCGUUAUCCGGAUUUAUUAGGUUUAAAGGGUUCGCAGGCGGAAUUUUAAGUCAGUGGUGAAAGCCUACAGCUCAACUGUAGAACUGCCAUUGAAACUGAUAUUCUUGAGUAUAGAUGAAGUGGGCGGAAUAUGUCAUGUAGCGGUGAAAUGCAUAGAUAUGACAUGGAACACCAAUUGCGAAGGCAGCUCACUAAACUAUUACUGACGCUCAUGAACGAAAGCGUGGGGAGCAAACAGGAUUAGAU